Long non-coding RNA from Haemorhous mexicanus (house finch), 1297 nucleotides. RefSeq lists it as uncharacterized. The transcript has 4 exons. NCBI's taxonomy places the organism in Eukaryota, Metazoa, Chordata, Aves, Passeriformes, Fringillidae. The record is from RefSeq and is a predicted model, not a curated record.
GCUCAGGACAAUGUCAGUGUUGCCCCCGAUUCCUCAGGAGGGGAGCCUGUGGACAGAGCUGCAGCAGAGGAAGCUUCAUCUGGCACCGAGAGCUGCAGGAACGGUUCCCAGGAGCCCGAGGAGCCUGAUGCCAUCUGACCAACAUCUCCAGGAGGGCUGCCCUGCCUGGCAGGAGGAGACAGAGGAGAGCCCGUGACCAUCGGGCAGGUAGAAUUCCUCUGUUUGUAAAUAUGUUUAUAGAUUGCUAUGGUUUUAUUUAUCAAUGCUUAUAGUUCCAUUUAUAGAUUAAACUGUUCUGUUUAUAUGUGCAUAUAUUGAUAGAUCUGUAGAGUUAAAUGUGGAUGUGUAUACUGUUACAGAUGUGAUAUAUUUCCAUUUAUGUAAUUAGAUUUACUGAUUUUCUGAGUUAAAUUUAUAUAUGAGUAGAGUAAGAAAACCAUAUAUAUGAAGUUAUAUUUAUAAAUGCGUACAGUUGCAUAGUAAGAGGAAUAUGAGUGUUUAGAUGUAUAGAUUGAUGGAUAGAUUGCUGUUUGCGUAGGCCUAGGCUGCAUUUUUACCUCUUUGCCCCCUCGGCUGCCUUUCUCACCUCUUGCUUUUCCCCCUGUGCCCCCUGUGUCCCCUCUCCCUGUGCUGGAUCCCAGCUGGCGGCCGGGCCGGCCAGAGCAGCACUUCCAGCCCCGGCUGGCCCUGGAGCAGUGGGAGCUGCCGCUGGCCCCAGGCACUGUCCCCUGAGGAGCUGCUGAAGGACGCUGCAAGGAAGACCUUGAGGACAGCCGGAGACUGACAGGAGCCAGCAGGGAGAAGCUGAAGGCCAGCAGCAAGAGCCCCCUUGGCCAGUGGCCACUGCUGGUGGCCAGCACCCACAAGACAGUGCUCUAAGCCUGAUUAUGAGCUGGGCCCUGCUGGGUAAGAAAUACCAGCUCAUGAGUCCGACCAGAGAGUGUGGCCCAGUUGUGAACAAAGAACAUCUGUCACCGACAUGUUUUAGGAAAAAUCCUUUCCUUAGGAUUUUUCCCUCCUGAGAAGCUGAGAGGCCUCAGGAACAAACUGUAAACAAUUCUUAUCUGCUGCUGUGGAAUGCAACAGGGGGAAUCUGUGAUUGGUCUCAUCUGGUUGUUUGGAAUUAACGCCCAAUCACAGUUCACUUGUCCAGACUGUCUCGGUGAGAGACAAGCCUUUGUUAUUCAUUCCUUUCCUAUUCUUAGCUUAGCCUUCUGAUGAAAUCUUUUCUCUCUGUUCUUUUAGUAUAGUUUUAAUAUAUUUUCUAUCAUAAAAUAAUAAACCUAGCUUGCUGAUA